GGCGGCGAUCGUCCGAUCAGUCCUGCGACGCCGACUGGAAGAUGAGGAACGCGGUGGCGACGCCGACCACCCCGGUGAGCGCCAGCGCCACCGUCGGCACCGGCGACGUCAGCCCCACGUUCUGGAGCACGCCUUUGCCGGUGGUCAGCUCGACGGUGAUGGCGGCGACGAAGCCGAGCAUGGCGCCGCGGCUGAGCCACAC
This 202-nucleotide unclassified non-coding RNA is filed under the name Hevea brasiliensis (rubber tree). The record is from RNAcentral. Lineage: Eukaryota; Viridiplantae; Streptophyta; Magnoliopsida; Malpighiales; Euphorbiaceae.